UACAGAGGGGGCGAGCGUUGUUCGGAAUUACUGGGCGUAAAGGGCGCGUAGGCGGCCUACUAAGUCAGACGUGAAAUCCCUCGGCUCAACCGGGGAACUGCGUCUGAUACUGGUGGGCUUGAAUCCGGGAGAGGGAUGCGGAAUUCCAGGUGUAGCGGUGAAAUGCGUAGAUAUCUGGAGGAACACCGGUGGCGAAGGCGGCAUCCUGGACCGGUAUUGACGCUGAGGCGCGAAAGCCAGGGGAGCAAAUGGG
RNAcentral lists this ribosomal RNA (253 nucleotides) under uncultured bacterium. RNAcentral describes it as "partial 16S ribosomal RNA". It matches the Rfam family "Bacterial small subunit ribosomal RNA", at positions 524 to 776 of the family's 1533-position model. The record is from RNAcentral.